This is a small nucleolar RNA of Zingiber officinale, 96 nucleotides long. RefSeq annotates it as small nucleolar RNA snoR8a. The transcript has a single exon. The record is from RefSeq and is a predicted model, not a curated record. NCBI's taxonomy places the organism in Eukaryota, Viridiplantae, Streptophyta, Magnoliopsida, Zingiberales, Zingiberaceae.
UUGGUGCUGUGAUUGUAAACAUAAUUCCUCGUUCUGAAUGCCGUCGAGAUCGAUCGGCAUGACAGACUCAAUUUACACCCAUAGAAUAUGAGCACC